GAUGAACGCUAGCGGGAGGCUUAAUACAUGCAAGUCGAGGGGUAACAGUGGAGCUUGCUCCAGCUGACGACCGGCGCACGGGUGAGUAACGCGUACACAAUCUGCCCUUAAGUGAGGAAUAGCCCUGGGAAACUGGGAUUAAUACCUCAUAAUAUUCUAACACCGCAUGAUGUUGGAAUUAAAGCUCCGGCGCUUAAGGAUGAGUGUGCGUCCCAUUAGCUAGUUGGUAAGGUAACGGCUUACCAAGGCAACGAUGGGUAGGGGGCGUGAGAGCGUGAUCCCCCACACGGGUACUGAGACACGGACCCGACUCCUACGGGAGGCAGCAGUAAGGAAUAUUGGACAAUGGGCGAAAGCCUGAUCCAGCCAUCCCGCGUGCAGGAAGACGGCCCUAUGGGUUGUAAACUGCUUUUAUUUGAGAAGAAACCCCCUGAUUUAUCAGGGGCUGACGGUAUCUUAUGAAUAAGCACCGGCUAACUCCG
RNAcentral lists this ribosomal RNA (482 nucleotides) under uncultured Saprospiraceae bacterium. Its description in RNAcentral is "bacterial SSU rRNA". It matches the Rfam family "Bacterial small subunit ribosomal RNA", at positions 28 to 505 of the family's 1533-position model. Lineage: Bacteria; Pseudomonadati; Bacteroidota; Saprospiria; Saprospirales; Saprospiraceae. The record is from RNAcentral.